RNAcentral lists this long non-coding RNA (1580 nucleotides) under Lactuca sativa (garden lettuce). Its description in RNAcentral is "long non-coding RNA (LSAT_LNC009600)". The record is from RNAcentral. Lineage: Eukaryota; Viridiplantae; Streptophyta; Magnoliopsida; Asterales; Asteraceae.
UGUGGUUAACCGGCACAUCGAUUGAGGGGUAAACACUUAAGGGUACCAAGUAAUUUGCAUGGUUACUUCACACCUUGUUUUGUGAUCCUCGGCAUCCCAGUCACAAAACCUGAAGGGCACACUCGAGAUUGAAACAUGCCAUUGAACAGUUCAAUGAAUCUCAAAGAUCUAGGAGUUUCAAAACCAAUUAAAACCUAAUAAUACAUUUCGUUUAUCUUGGUGGAAAUUGGUGAAUCGUCAUUCACCUACCUUCAAAUAUUUUAUAGCUUGGAUUACGGCAUACCUCUUCUAAGUUAUAAAAUAGUUUGUUGGGUCCUAGCCUUAAUAUUUCAUAUUGGGUGUCAUAUUAAGGACUUUAAAUCAACUAUCUUGAAUAUCUCCCAAAAGAUGUCUGGUUUAGACACCUAUGAUCUUCCCAAAUCUCUUGAAACAAGGUUUCCUAAUGAAGAUGAUGUCCCAUGGAUAUCAUACUUCUUCACCUCUUCAAAUUAUUCUCCCUAACCCACAAGUUCUUGAAAAGUUUAAGGUCACUCAGGCCCUAUUGGCAAGGCAAGGUCUAGGUGUGGUCACAUCUUGGAGAUGUAGUCACAUAUUGACAAGCCGGGAGACUUGGGUGUCAAAGUCUUGAGAAAGUUGGUGGUUCAACUUCUUUCUAAGUCACAUAGUGAGUUCUUUUGGAACUCCUGUGAAACAGACUAAGACAAGACCCUAAAUGAUCUUAUCUAUUUGNAUAGCUUGGAUUACGGCAUACCUCUUCUAAGUUAUAAAAUAGUUUGUUGGGUCCUAGCCUUAAUAUUUCAUAUUGGGUGUCAUAUUAAGGACUUAAGAUCAACUAUCUUGAAUAUCUCCCAAAAGAUGUCUGGUUUAGACAUUUAUGAUCUUCCCAAAUCUCUUGAAACAAGCUUUCCUAAUGAAGAUGAUGUCCCAUGGAUAUCAUACUUCUUUCAUAUCUUCAAAUUAUUCUCCCCAACCCACAAGUUCUUGAAAAUUUAAGGUCACUCAGGCACUAUUGGAAACGCAAGGUCUUGGUGUGAUCACAUCUUAGAGAUGUAGUCACAUAUUGACAAGCCGGGAGACUUGGGUGUCAAAGUCUUGAGAAAGUUGGUGGUUCAACUUCUUUCUAAGUCACAUAGUGAGUUCUUUUGGAACACCUAUGAAACAGACUAUGACAAGACCCUUAAUGAUCUUAUCUAUUUGUUAAGAUCAACUUCCUAAAACUUUAUGGACAUUGACAAUGAUGACAUUGGAUAUCCAGUAAAGCAUUCUCUUCCCAAUGGAAAGGGAUCGGCCAUAGUCAACUCGGUUGACCAAAUGGUAAAGAGAAAAAGCUAAGUCUGUAAUAGUACCGUGUACCAUUAUCAAAGGGUCCAUAUGUUUAUAUUGCCAAAGAAAGGGGCAUUGGUUGCGAAGCUGCCAAAUUUACCUAAGGAUGUUAAAGUCAAUAAGUUUGACUCUACUUCAGGUAAAGUCCACUAUCUAACUCUGUUAAGUUUCUAUUCUGAGAUUCUUGAUACAUGAUGUGACUGGGUCACAUGGUGAUGUUUUAAGAAUCAAAGAAAAGUGAAGAAACUUAAAGAAAG